This 298-nucleotide long non-coding RNA is filed under the name Manihot esculenta (cassava). Its description in RNAcentral is "long non-coding RNA (MESC_LNC008555)". Lineage: Eukaryota; Viridiplantae; Streptophyta; Magnoliopsida; Malpighiales; Euphorbiaceae. The record is from RNAcentral.
AAAUAUUGGUCAUACACAUGUGCAGAGCUACCCCCAAAGGGUGACCACCUGACAUACGCCCCAAAGGCUAUCUGUAUAUCAAGCGCUGUCCCAAAGACAGUAUAAAUAUAUCUAUCAUGCUGAAAAUAAAUCACCCGUCAUCAAGGUGUUAUCUGUUUGGUGCAUAUACAGAGUGUAAAUUCAAUUUCUCAUUCUCUGCCGAUGUGGGACAGAUUUGCGCCGCAAAUCCGCCAAGCUAGCAGCUCAAGCUGCUGACCGUUACACUCGGUCCCGCUAAAUUUUGCGACGUCCUCGUCGC